Molecule: long non-coding RNA, 505 nt
Filed under: Manacus vitellinus (golden-collared manakin)
Lineage: Eukaryota; Metazoa; Chordata; Aves; Passeriformes; Pipridae
Description: lncRNA (ENSMVIG00005003538.1)
Source: RNAcentral
AGAGACAAGCUCUGUGACACAAGGGGGGCGGCAGAAAUUCUCCCAUAAGAAGUAGGGUAGAAAUUCUGAGAAGAACAAAACAAAACUUCGUUUAGAUGCACUUUCCGCAAACAAAACCUGGAGACAGCACAGCUGAGAAAGUGCCUUGCUGCCUCUGGAUUAAUCGUGUGUGAUAUUCAGAAAGUGAAGGCAGAUGUUACUUUUAUCCAGCUGAGGAUUGCUGAGGCUUUGCCCUGUGAUCACACUCCUUACUGCCACAGUCCAGACAGGUAUUUCUCCAAACGCCAUUAAUUCUCAUUCUUAGCAGGCCUGAGGACAGGACAUCAUGCAAGAUGAGAUCCACCCCCAGCUCCUUCAGGAAACCCAUGUGCCAAUGACCCGUGUGCUCAUCCUGCUUGCCUGGCCACUGGGAAUGAGGGGAAGGGCUGCAUGAUGGGAACAACUGGAAUUUACAGGCCUUUGUUUUAGAUCAUCCUGGGGCAACAGCUGCCUGGUGGAGUGGAAG